GACAGCAUAAUGGCAGGGAAAGCGUCGGACAGCUCCAUAAAAUGGCAGCUAUGUUAUGACAUGUCAGCCAGGACUUGGUGGAUGGCUUGGUGCCAAACCCAUUCAAGUCAAGAGGAGGAGUACCAUUAAGUACAAUGGAUUUUGGAUCAGACUCGUACAGAAUACAUUUAUAUUUUAUAUCUGUAUAAUAUGCAAGAUACUCCUGAUUUAUCAGUAUUUUACAGCCUCCAUAAAGGGAGAUACUGGCUUUUCAAAAUCUUGAAUAAAGCACCUUGGAAAAUGAGAAGACUUAAAGCAAGGAAGAAAAGGAACAAAAAGGAAACAAGGAAGAAAAGGAUUCUGUAACAUCCCAUCCUAAUUUAACUGGUGUGAUGUUAGUAACUGAAGAAAACAGUGAAAGGAGAGCAGAACAUGUGUGGGACAGAGAAAACUCCAGAUCCAGCAAUGGGUUUCUACAAAGGAGCUAUUCUUCCCUCCAUUCUGCACUGCUAGAGAAGCAGUUCAAGGAAGAACACAGCCCCCCACCAUUAGAGAUGUUCAAAGAGAAUAUCCCUGUGGUGUAUUGUUCUAGUAUGUAGAUUUGCAUUGGUUGUAGAUCAAGGUAUGAUCAAAUAAGUUAAAUGAGAUCAUACCUUGCAUUUUUGAGUGUCAGGGGUAACUUCAGGGGUAACUUUUACAGGGGUGUAGGUUGUAAUGUUGGUGUAAGGACAUAGGCAGACAA
Molecule: long non-coding RNA, 721 nt
Organism: Gavialis gangeticus (Gharial)
Lineage: Eukaryota; Metazoa; Chordata; Crocodylia; Gavialidae
Exons: 3
Source: RefSeq, a predicted model, not a curated record